This 378-nucleotide unclassified non-coding RNA is filed under the name plant metagenome. RNAcentral's name for it is "partial contains 5.8S ribosomal RNA, internal transcribed spacer 2, and large subunit ribosomal RNA". The stretch from base 1 to 105 matches the Rfam family "5.8S ribosomal RNA", at positions 50 to 154 of the family's 154-position model. The record is from RNAcentral.
GAAAUGCGAUAAGUAAUGUGAACUGCAGAAUUCAGUGAAUCAUCGAAUCUUUGAACGCACCUUGCGCUCCUUGGUAUUCCUUGGAGCAUGCCUGUUUGAGUAUCAUGAAAUCUUCAAAGUAAAUCUUUUGUUAACUCAAUUGGUUUCUACUUUGGUAUUGGAGGUCUUUGCAGCUUCACACCUGCUCCUCUUUGUUCAUUAGCUGGAUCUCAGUGUUAUGCUUGGUUCCACUCGGCGUGAUAAGUUAUCUAUCGCUGAGGACACUGUAAAAGGUGGCCAAGGUAAAUGCAGAUGAACCCCUUCUAAUAGUCCAUUUACUUGGACAAUACUUUUAUGAUCUGAUCUCAAAUCAGGUAGGACUACCCGCUGAACUUAAGC